This 888-nucleotide ribosomal RNA is filed under the name Triticum aestivum (bread wheat). Its description in RNAcentral is "partial small subunit ribosomal RNA". The record is from RNAcentral. Lineage: Eukaryota; Viridiplantae; Streptophyta; Magnoliopsida; Poales; Poaceae.
AUGGCAGAAUGCUUCAAUAAGGUGCUCAAGGGUGUACGUGCAUUACCCGUGACGGCAAUAGUUCAAUACACAUUUGACAAGAUGAAUGGAUACUUUUUGAAGUAUUCAAUGGAGACGGAUAAGCAGAUUGCUGGUGAGAACAAGGAUAAGCACAAGUACUAUUUCCCACCAAAGGUUGAAGAAUGGUUGGACUUUCAAUCAUGAAAGGCAGACUCCCAAGAAGCUGUACUAUAUGACGACAACGAGUGGAAGUAUGAGGUGAAAGAGCCUGGAGGAACCACAAAAGAUGGCCACCAACACGGAGGCCGCGCUUUCAAGGUCUCCCUAACACGGUGUGAUUGCAGUUGCAUGAGGCCAUCGUUGCUUCAUCUCCCAUGCUCGCACUUGUUAAAUGCAGCCCGUGUUAGGAAUGUGGACGUCAAUCACCCUCUUACCGUGAGGGAGUCCGAGUUCUCAAUCAUGAUGGUAAAGAAUACAUGGGCUCCCCGGUUUCAGCCAUACUUGGACCAAUCACAAUGGCCGGAGUAUCAUGGAGUUCAACUAUGGCCGGACCCGGAAUUGAAGGUCGUUAGACGGGGAAGACGUAAGACAAAGCGUCUUAGAGGUGACAUGGACGGAUGGGGCCGUGGUGGCGGUGGAGAAUACAGCACCGGCCAAUUCCAAGAGCCUCGUGAGCAAUCCCGUUGUGGGGACUGCAGUCAUGGGGGACACAAACACAAGAACUUGUCCCAAAUCAAGAAAAAGAUCAAAAAAAUGAUGCAAGCACAAGCCAAGCAAAUGAUAGCCAACCAAGUCAACCAAGGAGUAGCCAACCAAGUCAAACAAGCCAACGAGGCACUAGGCAACAAAGAGGCCGUGGUGGUGGUAGAGGCCGUGGUGAUGGCCUAG